GACGAAGGGGGCUAGCGUUGUUCGGAAUUACUGGGCUUAAAGCGCGUGUAGGCGGGCCGGCACGUCGGUCGCUGAAAUCCCCCGGCUCAACCGGGGAAGGGGCGCCGAUACGACCGGCCUGGAGGGGCGUAGGGGGACCGGGAACUUCCGGUGGAGCGGUGAAAUGCGUUGAGAUCGGAAGGAACGCCCGUGGCGAAAGCGCGGUCCUGGACGCCUGCUGACGCUGAGACGCGAAAGCCAGGGGAGCGAACGGG
RNAcentral lists this ribosomal RNA (254 nucleotides) under uncultured bacterium. Its description in RNAcentral is "partial 16S ribosomal RNA". It matches the Rfam family "Bacterial small subunit ribosomal RNA", at positions 524 to 776 of the family's 1533-position model. The record is from RNAcentral.